RNAcentral lists this ribosomal RNA (465 nucleotides) under uncultured Klebsiella sp. RNAcentral describes it as "bacterial SSU rRNA". It matches the Rfam family "Bacterial small subunit ribosomal RNA", at positions 338 to 795 of the family's 1533-position model. Lineage: Bacteria; Pseudomonadati; Pseudomonadota; Gammaproteobacteria; Enterobacterales; Enterobacteriaceae. The record is from RNAcentral.
CCUACGGGGGGCUGCAGUGGGGAAUAUUGCACAAUGGGCGCAAGCCUGAUGCAGCCAUGCCGCGUGUGUGAAGAAGGCCUUCGGGUUGUAAAGCACUUUCAGCGGGGAGGAAGGCGUUAAGGUUAAUAACCUUGGCGAUUGACGUUACCCGCAGAAGAAGCACCGGCUAACUCCGUGCCAGCAGCCGCGGUAAUACGGAGGGUGCAAGCGUUAAUCGGAAUUACUGGGCGUAAAGCGCACGCAGGCGGUCUGUCAAGUCGGAUGUGAAAUCUCCGGGCUCAACCUGGGAACUGCAUUCGAAACUGGCAGGCUAGAGUCUUGUAGAGGGGGGUAGAAUUCCAGGUGUAGCGGUGAAAUGCGUAGAGAUCUGGAGGAAUACCGGUGGCGAAGGCGGCCCCCUGGACAAAGACUGACGCUCAGGUGCGAAAGCGUGGGGAGCAAACAGGAUUAGAUACCCGAGUAGUC